UGCCUUAGUAGCGGCGAGUGAAGCGGCAAAAGCUCAAAUUUGAAAUCUGGCGCCUUCGGUGUCCGAGUUGUAAUUUGAAGAUUGUAACCUUGGGGUUGGCUCUUGUCUAUGUUUCUUGGAACAGGACGUCACAGAGGGUGAGAAUCCCGUGCGAUGAGAUGCCCAAUUCUAUGUAAGGUGCUUUCGAAGAGUCGAGUUGUUUGGGAAUGCAGCUCUAAGUGGGUGGUAAAUUCCAUCUAAAGCUAAAUAUUGGCGAGAGACCGAUAGCGAACAAGUACAGUGAUGGAAAGAUGAAAAGAACUUUGAAAAGAGAGUGAAAAAGUACGUGAAAUUGUUGAAAGGGAAGGGUUUGAGAUCAGACUCGAUAUUUUGUGAGCCUUGCCUUCGUGGCGGGGUGACCCGCAGCUUAUCGGGCCAGCAUCGGUUUGGGCGGUAGGAUAAUGGCGUAGGAAUGUGACUUUACUUCGGUGAAGUGUUAUAGCCUGCGUUGAUGCUGCCUGCCUAGACCGAGGACUGCGAUUUUAUCAAGGAUGCUGGCAUAAUGAUCCCAAACCGC
This 556-nucleotide ribosomal RNA is filed under the name Meyerozyma guilliermondii. RNAcentral's name for it is "eukaryotic LSU rRNA". It matches the Rfam family "Eukaryotic large subunit ribosomal RNA", at positions 76 to 648 of the family's 3401-position model. Lineage: Eukaryota; Fungi; Ascomycota; Pichiomycetes; Serinales; Debaryomycetaceae. The record is from RNAcentral.